This 463-nucleotide ribosomal RNA is filed under the name Escherichia coli. RNAcentral describes it as "partial 23S ribosomal RNA". It matches the Rfam family "Bacterial large subunit ribosomal RNA", at positions 1498 to 1955 of the family's 2925-position model. Lineage: Bacteria; Pseudomonadati; Pseudomonadota; Gammaproteobacteria; Enterobacterales; Enterobacteriaceae. The record is from RNAcentral.
UUGGAUGUCCCGGUUCAAGCCUGUAGUCGUGCCUGGUAGGCAAAUCCGCCGGGCUUAGAUGAGGGGUGAUAACGAGGAGGCUUGCCUCCGAAGUGAGUGAUACCCUGCUUCCAGGAAAAGCCACUAAGCUUCAGCUAUUGACGACCGUACCGCAAACCGACACUGGCGCGCGAGAUGAGUAUUCUAAGGCGCUUGAGAGAACUCUGGAGAAGGAACUCGGCAAAUUGACACCGUAACUUCGGAAGAAGGUGUGCCUUUAGUAGGUGUAGUUGUACAAACGAAGCCCAAUGAGGCCGCAGAGAAUCGGUGGCUGCAACUGUUUAUUAAAAACACAGCACUCUGCAAAGACGAAAGUCGACGUAUAGGGUGUGACUCCUGCCCGGUGCUGGAAGAUUAAAUGAUGGGGUGCAAGCUCUUGACUGAAGUCCCAGUAAACGGCGGCCGUAACUAUAACGGUCCUAAG